This 291-nucleotide long non-coding RNA is filed under the name Penaeus japonicus. RNAcentral describes it as "uncharacterized LOC122248834". Lineage: Eukaryota; Metazoa; Arthropoda; Malacostraca; Decapoda; Penaeidae. The record is from RNAcentral.
GUUCGUACAUGUGUUCGCUUUCCGGGUUACCUGCAGUGGCGCUGAUGCCUGUGGCUUUAUAAGUGGCGAAGACGUGCUCGUGUCAACACUUCCCUGGCUCUCAUUGCUAAGAUAAGAGGGUUUUUCACCGAAUUCAUCAUGAAGUUCGCGCUUUUCAUCGUUCUUGCGAUGGCCUCCCAGCUGCCCCGACCCACACAGUUAUAACAUCAACUGCUUCCGAUACGAAGACCUGUGCCACUCUGACUACGACUGCAACCAUGGCAAGAAGUGCUGCCUCGUGGGUGGGUGUGG